This 771-nucleotide ribosomal RNA is filed under the name uncultured Neocallimastigales. Its description in RNAcentral is "partial large subunit ribosomal RNA". The stretch from base 3 to 660 matches the Rfam family "Eukaryotic large subunit ribosomal RNA", at positions 24 to 664 of the family's 3401-position model. The record is from RNAcentral. Lineage: Eukaryota; Fungi; Neocallimastigomycota; Neocallimastigomycetes; Neocallimastigales.
UACACGCUGUGACUAGCAUAUCAAUAAGCGGAGGAAAAGAAACUAACAAGGAUUCCCUCAGUAACGGCGAGUGAAGCGAGAAGAGCUCAAAUUUGAAAUCUUGAAAGGUCACCUUUCACGAAUUGUAGUUUAAAGAAGUGUUUUCUGUUACGAUCGUAAUAUAAGUUCUUUGGAAUAGGACAUCACAGAGGGUGAGAAUCCCGUCUAUGAUUGCGAUUUGUAGCUUUGUGAUACACUUUCAAAGAGUCGGGUUGUUUGGGAAUGCAGCCCAAAACGGGAGGUAAAUUUCUUCUAAGGCUAAAUAUUGGCGAGAGACCGAUAGCGAACAAGUACCGUGAGGGAAAGAUGAAAAGAACUUUGAAAAGAGAGUUAAAUAGUACGUGAAAUUGUCAAAAGGGAAGCGUUUAACACCAGUGUUGUUUUCUGAAAAUCAACCUCUGUUAGCUUUAUGCAUGUUUGUUUAGACCUAAUCAGCUAUCUUUCAUGUUCUAUUGUUUGCAGUGGUGCACUUUUCAGUUUACAGGUCAACAUCAGUUUUUUUUACCGUAAAAAAGUUAAAGAAAGGUAGCUCAUGGCUCCGGUCGUGAGUGUUAUAGUCUUUUUCCUAUGCGGUAGGAGAGACUGAGGUCUGCAGUGUAGGCUAUUUGGCUAGAUACUCAGGUGCUAUGCUGAUACCAUUUCAUAAACAACUUGUUGAUUAUGUUUUGUCUAUUGCAUACUCGCUUGUACUAUCAUACCUACGCUUAGGAUGUUGAGUAGCGACAUACGCAC